This is a long non-coding RNA of Topomyia yanbarensis, 465 nucleotides long. RefSeq lists it as uncharacterized. NCBI's taxonomy places the organism in Eukaryota, Metazoa, Arthropoda, Insecta, Diptera, Culicidae. The transcript has 3 exons. The record is from RefSeq and is a predicted model, not a curated record.
GGGGAUGUUACGAAACCACAGGGCAGAUUCGUUCAACAGACAGAUGAGUUCAGUUCAGUACCACCCGGUGCUGUCAAUACGAGCAAACAUAAAUGUCAGUUGCGCAAACGUCAGAACAUAUCCUCGUGUGCUGUACUGUCAGAUGGAGCAUAGACACAACGUGAUCAGUCCGUAAGUUGCUCGUCAUUGCACUGUUUCAAUAUUAAAAUCAGUUAGCAGUCGUAGUUAAACCUUUAUUAAAGUUGCUUAAAUUCUAGUUAAUUAUAGUGAAUUUGUAACAGAACGAGAAACUAAAGCUAAUAGUACGGCUAAUUGACUAGUUCAGGCUAAUUAUCACAGAUUUGCAAGAAGGGACACUACGAACACAGAUAAAAAAGGAGUUUGUUUCGGAUAAACUCGGAAGAAGAAAACGAAAAUGUAAGCAUAACCUAUAUUAUAAACCAAAUGAAACUUAAUAUAAUAUAU